RNAcentral lists this ribosomal RNA (492 nucleotides) under uncultured bacterium. RNAcentral describes it as "partial 16S ribosomal RNA". It matches the Rfam family "Bacterial small subunit ribosomal RNA", at positions 29 to 507 of the family's 1533-position model. The record is from RNAcentral.
AGUGAACGCUGGCGGUAGACCUAACACAUGCGAGUCGAACGGCAGCACAGUAAGAGCUUGCUCUUACGGGUGGCGAGUGGCGGACGGGUGAGGAAUACAUCGGAAUCUACUUUUUCGUGGGGGAUAACGUAGGGAAACUUACGCUAAUACCGCAUACGACCUACGGGUGAAAGCAGGGGAUCUUCGGACCUUGCGCGAUUGAAUGAGCCGAUGUCGGAUUAGCUAGUUGGCGGGGUAAAGGCCCACCAAGGCGACGAUCCGUAGCUGGUCUGAGAGGAUGAUCAGCCACACUGGAACUGAGACACGGUCCAGACUCCUACGGGAGGCAGCAGUGGGGAAUAUUGGACAAUGGGCGCAAGCCUGAUCCAGCCAUACCGCGUGGGUGAAGAAGGCCUUCGGGUUGUAAAGCCCUUUUGUUGGGAAAGAAAAGCAGCAGGUUAAUACCCCGCUGUUCUGACGGUACCCAAAGAAUAAGCACCGGCUAACUUCGUG